Molecule: non-coding RNA, 328 nt
Organism: Sus scrofa (pig)
Lineage: Eukaryota; Metazoa; Chordata; Mammalia; Artiodactyla; Suidae
Rfam family: 7SK RNA
About the family: 7SK was discovered as an abundant small nuclear RNA in the mid-70s but a possible function has only recently been suggested. Two independent studies have found that 7SK RNA binds the CDK9/cyclin T complex (known as elongation factor P-TEFb).
Source: Rfam
GGAUGUGAGGGCAGUCUGGCUGUGACAUCUGUCACCCAUUGAUCACCAGGGUUGAUACGGCUGAUCUGGCUGGCUGGGCGGGUGUCCCCUUCCUCCCUCACUGCUCCAUGUGCGUCCCUCCCGAAGCUGCGCACUCAGUCGAGGAGGAUGGUCAUCCCUGAUAGGGGAGGACCGUUCUUCGGUCAAGGGUAUACAGGUAGCUGUGCUCUCCUGCUAGAACCUCCAGAUAAGCUCUCAAGAACAUGCUGGCCAGCACCUUGGAGGCUCAUGUAGACAGGGUCAGCCCUACAGUUCAGAACUCAACCUUUUGGACGUCUGGCUCCUUUGG